AGUAGGGUCAGCUAAUGAAGCUAUCGGGCCCAUACCCCGAAAAUGAAGGUUUAACCCCAUCCCCCACUA
This 69-nucleotide transfer RNA is filed under the name Strix uralensis (Ural owl). Its description in RNAcentral is "tRNA-Met". It matches the Rfam family "tRNA". Rfam says of the family: Transfer RNA (tRNA) molecules are approximately 80 nucleotides in length. Lineage: Eukaryota; Metazoa; Chordata; Aves; Strigiformes; Strigidae. The record is from RNAcentral.